RNAcentral lists this RNase P RNA (326 nucleotides) under uncultured Traorella sp. RNAcentral's name for it is "Bacterial RNase P class B". It matches the Rfam family "Bacterial RNase P class B". Rfam says of the family: Ribonuclease P (RNase P) is a ubiquitous endoribonuclease, found in archaea, bacteria and eukarya as well as chloroplasts and mitochondria. Its best characterised activity is the generation of mature 5'-ends of tRNAs by cleaving the 5'-leader elements of precursor-tRNAs. The record is from RNAcentral. Lineage: Bacteria; Bacillati; Bacillota; Erysipelotrichia; Erysipelotrichales; Erysipelotrichaceae.
UUAGGGCAAUCGCUGGCAGUAGCUAGAGGAAAGUCCAUGCUCGCACAUUCUGAGAUGAAUGUAGUGUUUAUGCCAGGUGAAGUCAUAAGCCUGGGUAGAGAAAUCUAACGGCCAGUUGACACCUAAGGGAAACUAUGGUGAAGACUGUGAAAGUGCCACAGAGACGAGCUGUAUAGGAAACGUACAGGUGGAACGGGUAAACCCCAUAAGCGAGAAACCCAAAUUUGGUAGGGGAAUCCGGUGCGGUGAAAUGAAAUCAAUCCGGGACACAUCAUGUGUAGAUAAAUGGUUGCCACUUCUUUUGAAGGACAGAACAUGGCUUAUAU